AUGAGUUCUUGAAAAGUCUGAAAGUCAGUGUUGCAAGAGCUGUCGCACGGUUCGGAUGAGUGACCUAGCUCACAGUUCAGAAACAUAAAUCAAACACGUGGGAAUUAUUGGUUUAGGGAAUUGGGAAGCAAGAAAGACCAGUUUCAUUCCUUUAACGACAAAAAUUGUGAGCACAAGAAAAAAAAACGUUAGAAUUCUCGAGGGGCCGUCACCACGGAAUCCACCCACCUUUCCCGGGGUCUUCCUCUUCUUCUGGAGCCGUACAAGUUGAAAGAUUUUCAUAACUACUCUGUCUUCCAACAUUCGAAUCAAGUAUCCCAGCCAUCUUAUCCUUUGUGAUCUGAUAUAGUAGACUAUGGUUUUGCUAUUUGUAAUAUGUAUUUCUAUAGUGUAGGAUUCUGUAGCUCCGAUGAAAAUGUUUAUUAAAUAUGUAUAUUAAAAGUUUAUAAGAAGCUUGCUUAACCAGUUGGAUGUGGCAACCAUAUCGUUUUUUCCGUGUGGUAAUGAUGCAUAUAUGCGCGGAAAAAAAGUGCCACUACUGGUAAUGACGCAUAUAUGCGCACCAUGAAUAUUUCUUCCAAUGUUUAACGGAUUUGAAUAUAACUUGGUACACCCAUGCUUUUUGAAUCGCUGAAAACAGGUCUUAUCAGUUUUGGCACAAAACGUUGAUUUCGCAUUACCAGUGAACCGGUUAAGUGUUGAGUAGAUGUUUCAUUUGAGCUUUAAAACAUUUAUUAAAUUGUUUAUGAAAUGUAAAUUUAAACAUGGAAUUGUUUAUGGAGAUGUUCACGGUUACACGUUUGAUAGGCGUUCGGAAAGUGUUGUAUGGUGUUUCCGGAAUGUUGCAGUUUAGGCAGCAGUUCACAGCGCUGCCUAAAACACCUCGUGAAUAUUUGCAACACUUCAAAAACACGAACGCCUAUUCUUAAAUCUUAAUUAAAGUCAUCUAAAAUAAAUCUUAAAUUUAAGA
Molecule: long non-coding RNA, 970 nt
Organism: Temnothorax curvispinosus
Lineage: Eukaryota; Metazoa; Arthropoda; Insecta; Hymenoptera; Formicidae
Exons: 3
Source: RefSeq, a predicted model, not a curated record